Molecule: ribosomal RNA, 465 nt
Filed under: Vreelandella stevensii
Lineage: Bacteria; Pseudomonadati; Pseudomonadota; Gammaproteobacteria; Oceanospirillales; Halomonadaceae
Description: partial 16S ribosomal RNA
Rfam family: Bacterial small subunit ribosomal RNA
Source: RNAcentral
CCUACGGGUGGCUGCAGUGGGGAAUAUUGGACAAUGGGGGGAACCCUGAUCCAGCCAUGCCGCGUGUGUGAAGAAGGCCCUCGGGUUGUAAAGCACUUUCAGUGAGGAAGAACGCCUGGUGGUUAAUACCCAUCAGGAAAGACAUCACUCACAGAAGAAGCACCGGCUAACUCCGUGCCAGCAGCCGCGGUAAUACGGAGGGUGCGAGCGUUAAUCGGAAUUACUGGGCGUAAAGCGCGCGUAGGUGGCUUGAUAAGCCGGUUGUGAAAGCCCCGGGCUCAACCUGGGAACGGCAUCCGGAACUGUCAAGCUAGAGUGCAGGAGAGGAAGGUAGAAUUCCCGGUGUAGCGGUGAAAUGCGUAGAGAUCGGGAGGAAUACCAGUGGCGAAGGCGGCCUUCUGGACUGACACUGACACUGAAGUGCGAAAGCGUGGGUAGCAAACAGGAUUAGAUACCCUAGUAGUC